UGUUAGAACCAAUGUUGCCCCGACAA
This 26-nucleotide non-coding RNA is filed under the name Homo sapiens (human). The record is from RNAcentral. Lineage: Eukaryota; Metazoa; Chordata; Mammalia; Primates; Hominidae.